RNAcentral lists this ribosomal RNA (1082 nucleotides) under bacterium symbiont of Acharax sp. Guiness. RNAcentral describes it as "bacterial LSU rRNA". It matches the Rfam family "Bacterial large subunit ribosomal RNA", at positions 1148 to 2216 of the family's 2925-position model. The record is from RNAcentral.
GUCGAGUCGGUCUGCGCGGAAGAUUUAACGGGGCUCAAGUGAUGCACCGAAGCUGCGGAUACGUGUUUACACGUAUGGUAGAGAAGCGUUCUGUAAGCCUGUGAAGGUGUGCUGUAAGGCAUGCUGGAGGUAUCAGAAGUGCGAAUGCUGACAUAAGUAACGAUAAUGGGGGUGAGAGACCCCCACGCCGAAAACCCAAGGUUUCCUGCUCAACGUUAAUCGGAGCAGGGUUAGUCGGCCCCUAAGGCGAGGCGGAAACGCGUAGUCGAUGGGGAUCAGGUUAAUAUUCCUGAACUUUGUAAUAUUGCGAUGGGGAGACGGAGAAGGCUAAAUCAGCAGGGCGACGGUUGUCCCUGUUUAAGCGUGUAGGCAGGACCCUUAGGUAAAUCCGGGGGUUCAUUAAUGCUGAGGCGUGACGACGAGUCCUCUUUUGGACGAAGUGAUUGAUGCCAUGCUUCCAGGAAAAUCCUCUAAGCUUCAGAUAUUACAAAACCGUACCCCAAACCAACACAGGUGGGUGGGAUGAGAAUUCUAAGGCGCUUGAGAGAACUCGGGUGAAGGAACUAGGCAAAAUAGCACCGUAACUUCGGGAGAAGGUGUGCCUUUGACGGUGAUGAGACUUGCUCUCUGAGCUGUUGGAGGUUGCAAUAAAAUGGUGGCUGCGACUGUUUACUAAAAACACAGCACUCUGCAAACUCGAAAGAGGACGUAUAGGGUGUGACGCCUGCCCGGUGCCGGAAGGUUAAUUGAUGGGGUUAUCUUCGGAGAAGCUCUUGAUCGAAGCCCCGGUAAACGGCGGCCGUAACUAUAACGGUCCUAAGGUAGCGAAAUUCCUUGUCGGGUAAGUUCCGACCUGCACGAAUGGCGUAACGACGGCCACACUGUCUCCACCCGAGACUCAGUGAAAUUGAAAUUGCGGUUAAGAUGCCGUAUACCCGCGGCUAGACGGAAAGACCCCGUGAACCUUUACUACAGCUUUGCACUGAAUUUUGAUCCUACUUGUGUAGGAUAGCUGGGAGGCUUUGAAGCCGUGACGCUAGUUGCGGUGGAGCCAACCUUGAAAUACCAGCCUGGUAUGGUUG